This 128-nucleotide small RNA is filed under the name Vigna angularis var. angularis. RNAcentral's name for it is "Non-protein coding transcript". Lineage: Eukaryota; Viridiplantae; Streptophyta; Magnoliopsida; Fabales; Fabaceae. The record is from RNAcentral.
GUCCAACACUUCCAGAGGUAACACAACUCAUUUAUACCAGAGGGAGGCUUUAGAUCCAUGACUUGUGAAUAGUGAAAGAAUCUGAUAAAGCAUAAGCGAGACCAACAUAAAGGCUUCAAAUGGUGCUG